Suricata suricatta (meerkat) is the source of this 642-nucleotide long non-coding RNA. RefSeq lists it as uncharacterized. Lineage: Eukaryota; Metazoa; Chordata; Mammalia; Carnivora; Herpestidae. The transcript is spliced from 4 exons. The record is from RefSeq and is a predicted model, not a curated record.
CGGAGCUGUGGACAACCAUAAUGUAUGCAACUCUUGGAGAAAAAAGAAGAGAACACGUGAGGCUAACAAGUGGAAGGAAGAAGCAAAUGUGUCAAAGAGAGAGUGGUAAUCAUUUUCUUGCAGAGGACAAGGCAGGAAAUUGACCUGAGAACAAAAAAGGCAAAUGCCCGUGCAGAUUCCAUGAGGCCACAUGGCGCACCAGAGCGGAGGGCAAACACAGGCACUCAGGUUCUUUUAAAUUGCUGUUUGUUAAUCACUCUCAACUACUGGACAUUUAUGGGUAUUCCUUUGAAUUUCAACAAUUUGGUUGCCACUAAACAAACACAUCUGUCACAGUAGAAUUUUUCUCUACCAGGAAGCUUUUUCACCGCAACAGAAUAGAAGCACUCAUGGAAGUCCUUGAGGCAGUGAUUCACGCACCCACCGCUGUGUGACUGAUGAAAACACACACAGAGACAAGCAAUGGAGUACAGAGCAUGCUGCAGCCAGCACUGCCCCACGCUGCCUACCAGCUUGAAGACGCCAAAAGCCUCAGAUCAAAUUCUCCCAGCCAGAGUUUCAUAUUUAUCCAGAUCCUGAUGGGAAUACAGAUAAAAAUCAUAAUUUACCCAACCCAAGCAGGGUAAAGCCAAGUGAUUCAUU